UGAAGAGGCUGUAGAAAUUGUAUCUGAAACUCCAGAUAGGGCAAAAGCAGCCAAGCAUCUUGUUCAAUGUGCUGUUCGUGCUUGGAAACGUAAGAGGAGAGGGAUAGCUGUAGAUGAUAUUUCAGCCAUUGUACUCUUCUUUCUUUCUAAGCAUUUCUGUCAGCAUAUUUACCCUGUAACUACUCCAAAAUAAGAAAACGCAAGUUUCUG
RNAcentral lists this unclassified non-coding RNA (210 nucleotides) under Hevea brasiliensis (rubber tree). The record is from RNAcentral. Lineage: Eukaryota; Viridiplantae; Streptophyta; Magnoliopsida; Malpighiales; Euphorbiaceae.